CAAAGGGGCGGGAUGUGAGGAUAACCCGCAGAUGUGCGUCUUUUUUUACGACGUCUCAGGACAAGAGAUGCUAGGCAGACAUCGUGUGACUUGUCUCAGAGUCGCUGAAGAAGUUAACCAUUUUAGACCGCGGUGGAUGACAGAAAAGGGCCUCAGUAGAAUUUUGCAGAAGGUAGAGGAGACAUUCCUGGGACUCUAAUUUUUGUUGGAGCAAUUGAGGAACUCGCCUGGUAGUCGUCAGGACUGGUUUUGCCGCCUGCCUGAUUAUUUUGCCCCUCUUCAUAUCAUCAUCAUUCCCAACAUCAUUUCAUCAUCCAGACUGACCAUUUGACUGCUCAUAGAAGGUCUUUUGUUUGUCAACACCUUAUAACAGGAAAAAAAAUAGUCCCCAGUGAAAAGAGAUGACUUUAGAGUGAAUCUAGAGAUGACUUUGCUUUCUGAUGGCAGCUGUAGUUGAAUGGUUAAGUCCACUGGAGCCUCUCAUGUUCCCCUGCUGGACUGGGACUCCUGCCAGGACUUCCCUUUGUCUCUCUGCUGAAUGAAGGAAGAGGCCAAGUACACUGUCCAGACAGUGAGGUCUUACUUUUAAAGGCCUUGCACACACAGUCACGAUGCACAGCAAUUGCGCCCACCACAGCUGAUUUCGGUCGCAGCACUGGAUCCCAUCCUGGCUGACAUUUGGCGGUGGCGGGGUACACCCUGGACCGGUCUCCUGUUCAUCACAGGGCUAGAGGAAACACUAACGUGCCGCCCCGUAUUCAUCUCUAAAUUAAACUACUUCUUUUAAUAUCAUA
This is a long non-coding RNA of Scatophagus argus, 794 nucleotides long. RefSeq lists it as uncharacterized. The record is from RefSeq and is a predicted model, not a curated record. NCBI's taxonomy places the organism in Eukaryota, Metazoa, Chordata, Actinopteri, Scatophagidae. The transcript has 5 exons.